RNAcentral lists this ribosomal RNA (253 nucleotides) under uncultured bacterium. RNAcentral's name for it is "partial 16S ribosomal RNA". It matches the Rfam family "Bacterial small subunit ribosomal RNA", at positions 524 to 776 of the family's 1533-position model. The record is from RNAcentral.
UACGUAGGGGGCAAGCGUUGUCCGGAUUUAUUGGGCGUAAAGAGCGUGUAGGCGGUUUGGUAGGUCCGCUGUGAAAACUCGAGGCUCAACCUCGAGACGCCGGUGGAAACCAUCAGACUAGAGUCCGGAAGAGGAGAGUGGAAUUCCUGGUGUAGCGGUGAAAUGCGCAGAUAUCAGGAGGAACACCAAUUGCGAAGGCAGCUCGCUGGUACGUAACUGACGCUGAGACGCGAAAGCGUGGGGAGCAAACAGG